This 404-nucleotide ribosomal RNA is filed under the name Fusobacteriota bacterium. Its description in RNAcentral is "Fusobacteria bacterium partial 16S ribosomal RNA". It matches the Rfam family "Bacterial small subunit ribosomal RNA", at positions 355 to 776 of the family's 1533-position model. Lineage: Bacteria; Fusobacteriati; Fusobacteriota. The record is from RNAcentral.
UGGGGAAUAUUGCACAAUGGAGGGAACUCAGAUGCAGCGACGCCGCGUGAGUGAUGAAGGAAUUCGUUUCGUAAAACUCUGUUCUAUGGGAAGAAAAGGACUGUACCAUAGGAGAAAGCUCCGGCUAAAUACGUGCCAGCAGCCGCGGUAAUACGUAUGGAGCGAGCGUUGUCCGGAAUUAUUGGGCGUAAAGGGUGCGCAGGCGGCUUUACAAGUUGGAUGUGAAAUAUUGUGGCUCAACCACAAACGUGCAUCCAAAACUGCAAAGCUUGAGUUAAGGAGAGGUAAGUGGAAUUCCUGGUGUAGCGGUGGAAUGCGUAGAUAUCAGGAGGAAUACCGGUGGCGAAGGCGACUUACUGGACUUAAACUGACGCUCAGGCACGAAAGCGUGGGGAGCAAACAGG